UGUGGUAGCCAACACUGAUAGAGAUAUAUAUAUAUAUAUAUAUAUAUAUAUAUUAUUAUUAUUUUUUUAUUUUUUUUAUUGUGGUAGCGCCCGAAAUAUUGGGACAUAUAAAAAAAGACAACUCUGUUCCGCAGAGUAGCUGUUAACAUUAUAGUUGCACAGGAACUUUGUUGACUCUAGAGAACCUCGGGCAAAUCGCACAUCCCCGUGGCGGCGACUUUGCAUGCGGAUGUCAUCCAUAUCAACUUUUGAUGCCAUUUUCUGCUCCUACCAUGGUGACCACGGGUAACGUGGAAUCAGGGUUCCAUUCCGUACAGGGACCCUGAGAAACGGCUACCACAUGCAAGGAAGGCAGCAGGCGCGCAAAUGACCCACUCCCGACGCGGGAACGUAGUGACG
This 399-nucleotide ribosomal RNA is filed under the name Pelobates cultripes (western spadefoot toad). RNAcentral describes it as "SSU_rRNA_microsporidia". It matches the Rfam family "Eukaryotic small subunit ribosomal RNA", at positions 120 to 472 of the family's 1831-position model. Lineage: Eukaryota; Metazoa; Chordata; Amphibia; Anura; Pelobatidae. The record is from RNAcentral.